ACAACAGUCUAUAAUCCAGACCUCAUAGCUAAAGCCCCAAAUAGCUAAAUCCACAGGAUACAGAUUUUUUUUUUGUCUUCUAGUGUGUAGUGUUUUUAGGUCUGAACUCUUAAUGAGGCUAGUAGUCUAGAGGCCACUUUAAAUUUUUCACCACAGGUAAUUUACCCAUUUCUUUCUCCUCCUUCCUAGUUUACCCUGCCGGCUUGAAAUUCCUCUUGAGACAGGAUUUGUCUAGAACCUACUGUCCUGAAUUCAAAUCAUUUGUUUAACUUACAGAAGCAUGUAACCAAAAUGGAAAUCAAGUACCAUGGACCUGGACGGUGGGGGCCUGAAUUAAAAUCACUCAAGACAGGAAGAAUUUGACAUGGUCAAUCAGACUUCAGAGCCAAGGCAGGAGGAGAAGAAUUUCUCCAUGUCCAGCAACAUUCCAGCCAGUGAGAAACUGCUUCACUCAGCUAGAGUAAAGCUGUGACCUGAACUCUUGGAAGCAGUCACUCCUGACUUCCUUCUUUCCUCCAUAAAAGCAAGUUAGUCUCCCCGGUUAUCUGGUCUUACCUGUGGUUUGCCAUAGUUUGCUUGUCCCAAAUUGCAGUUCUCUGGUAUUCCCAAAUAAACUUAUUUUGCUGCUAAAA
Molecule: long non-coding RNA, 632 nt
Organism: Leopardus geoffroyi (Geoffroy's cat)
Lineage: Eukaryota; Metazoa; Chordata; Mammalia; Carnivora; Felidae
Exons: 2
Source: RefSeq, a predicted model, not a curated record